Molecule: long non-coding RNA, 1930 nt
Organism: Trifolium pratense (red clover)
Lineage: Eukaryota; Viridiplantae; Streptophyta; Magnoliopsida; Fabales; Fabaceae
Exons: 5
Source: RefSeq, a predicted model, not a curated record
ACCCUAAUUCCUCUUUGACCAAACAUUAACUCCAUUCCCUCACAUAUUCACAUCGAUCUGUCUUGUGUUCACUCUCACAACCAUAUCACAAAAUAUCGCCGCCAGUAGGUUUCCAGAAGCCGGCGAACCAACACACGCACCACCGCGUCCACGAGAAUCUCUAUCCCACCAUCUUCGUUGUAGUACACCUCAACACCCCAUCUGCUUCGCUCCAUCUCCGACCUUGCCUAGACGCCAUCAUCAACCACAUCAAUCUAGCUAUCAAUUCGGCUUCUCCUUCUGAUUUCGAUUCAAACAUCCUUCGUCUUACCCAUUUAUUAGUUAGUAAACUCUAUUCCUAGGGUUUCAGUGAUUUUUUUUUUAAUGAAACCAUUCAUUUCUCCUUCUGAUUCCGAUUCAAACAUCCUUCAUCUUACCCAUUUAUCGAUGACCAUCUAUUUUUCCUCCUCUUGUGCCAAGGAAAGAUGAUGAUAGGAAGAUCAUUAUACGACUUUAUAGUAAAGGGCUCAUUCCUCCCAUUGAAGUUGCGAAGGCCAUUAAUUAUGCAAUACGAAAUCAGUGACUAGUUCUUGAAAUUCUUCGAUCAAAAUAAGACCACCGAGCUUCGUCAAGAGGCAGAGCGGUCUACACCUCAGGCCGCAAGGAUCAUAUUGAAGUGGCACUUGAACUUGUAUUCUGGACAUGGGACAAGAUUACAUGACUUGACAUGGUGUGGUGUAAGCAAAUACUCAACAUUACUUGAUUAUAUCAUUCUUUUUGGUGAGAAAAAGAUAGUAUGAAAGAAUCAAGAACAAUCUAAGUGAGGCUAAUGUGCUAUUAGCAUGAUUGGACAUGUGGAAUCAAAGCAAGAUUAAGAGUGUAUUCUAAGUUGUUCAAACUUUGUCAUCCACUUCCAUAUGUGGCAUUAUACACACAAAGCUCAUUGUGGGAGAGUUUUUUGCAUACUCAUUGCUAUAUUUUUCAUGCAGCAAGCUAUCCAAGUAAGACAAUGAUAAUGUUUAACUAUCUUAAAUGUGUUGAUAUGUUAGACUAUCUUAGACUUUCUUUGAUAAUGUGUUGAUAGCUUGCCAUAGUUGCUGAUAAUGCAUGUGUUGAUAGCUUGUCUCAAUAUUAUUCAUUUUGGUUUUGUUAGUUAUCUCUGUUUUAAGCACAUAUAUAUUUUCCAGUAAUGAAUAGAGUCGUUCAUGGGUUCAUGAGCUAUUGAAGCCAUCUGGGGUAUGCUUAGAUACUUGUUUGCUUCUAAACUAUUAUGGUAGACUAGAUGCCUCUAUGUGGACGAUCUUAAAGAAAUAUCAUUCACUUCUUGUUAUCAGCUGAUUUAUUUGACUGCGUAUAAUUAGGAAAGUGAUCAAGUAUACAAGGAGCUAGGAUUUGGGAACAGAAUCACAGUCAUAUAGUUUAUGUGGUUUUUUCUCUAACUCUUCUCAUGUGUAUUAGUUUCUGGUUUUCUGGUUUUUUAGGUGAAGGCUUAAGGCUUUUUUCCUUUUAGGGGAGGCCUUAGUGUAUCCAUCUGUUUGAUGUUGCUGCUACUGGUGCUAAUUUAAUUUUCGCUUUGACACUUUAUUGGUGUUUGUUGUAGCUAGCCGGGUGUUUUUAAGUUCUUUCUUCUAGUGGUCAAGGCUUGAAGAUCUUGUUCACAAAUGUUUCUUGUUUCUCAAUUAUUUCAUUAUAGUUGCUAUCUUUGAUAUGUCAUGCAUGGGAUGAUAUCCUGUAAUCUUAACAAAUUAUCUAGUUGCAUGAUGGGAAUGCGGUACUGGAUGCAAUUGGGUUAUUAAUGCCAUUUUAUUUUAUAACACAGUAUUAAUUUAUUUUGAAUUAUCUUGUAUUUGUAAUAUAACUUUUUGUGGCAGAUUUGUUGCUUUGUAAUUUUCUUAGUAUCAGGUGCAACACUAUGUAACAAAACAGGUUGAUAAAUGAUUUUUUUUAUUUU